GUCGCCGUGACGAAAAUGGCAAACGUACCAGGCUGAGAACCUGGGCCCGCAAGGGCACUGUGGGUUCGAUUCCCACCGGCGACA
Molecule: non-coding RNA, 84 nt
Organism: Chondromyces apiculatus DSM 436
Lineage: Bacteria; Pseudomonadati; Myxococcota; Polyangiales; Polyangiaceae
Source: Rfam